UUCGAAGGGUGAUUCCGUAAUUUGAAUGAGUUAAGCGCCAAAUUAAACCCACAAAUUUAAAAGUCGGUUAUUUUCCUUGUCCACCCAUUUUACACCGGAGCAGAUCGUCCACCAAAUUCUGAUAUAAAUCACUGCACACACACUCACAGAGAGAUACACCAAGAAACCCAGAACAGCUUCACAUGAUGCUCAUUCAAGCUUUCUGCUCCCCACUCUCUCCCAUUUCUCUCGCAAACCCCAACCGCCAAUUCCCCAUCAUCUCCCGCCCUGCUCCUUUCAACGGUUCAGUUUAUCAAUUGAAGAUAGGAGGUGGGAGUUCGUGGUUGGGGAGGAAGAAGAAUAAGGGAGCGAUAGUUUCUGCUUCUGUGGAGCAGAGCUCAGGCCCCAGUUUGUCAAAGCGAAGAAAGAUCGUCGAACACAUAUGUUUGCUUAAAUCGAGGGAGGAUUUAUCUGAUGAGCAAGAGAAGGAUAUGCUGGAUUAUCUGUAUACAACUCAGUAUCAAAUGAGAGGCAUUGUCGCAAUAUCAUUAGGGCGUAUUGGUAAUCAAAAUCCGGACAAGUAUAGCUACGCUUUCUACUUGCGUUUCCAGAGAAAAGAAGACGUUGUAAAGUUUUACCAGCACCCUUUUUACUUGGGAGUUCUCAAGGAUCACAUAUCGCCUUACUGCCAUGAAUUGCUUAAUGUAGAUUACGAAUCUGAAGUAGAAGAUGAUAUCCUUCCUAUAUUUCGAAAAGGAGAGGAAUUCAACUUUGGUGUGGAGUUUGUGCUUCUGAUUUCCUUCCUCGAUAAUGCAUCUGAUCAGGCGGAAAAUGCAUUGGUUUCUUUUGAAGGGCUGCUGAUGGGAUUCCCAUCCUUGAUUGUCCAAUCUACUCGAGGUAUGAAUUUUAACACGAGCAGCAAGGAGUAUACACAUGGAGUAGUGAUCAGAUUUCGGUCAUUUGAUGCUUUUGGGAUAUUUUUUGGAAGCUCAGAAUACAAAGACUUAUGGAAGUCAAAGUUCGAGAAAAUCACUCAGAAAACACUUUCUGUUCAUUUUCUUAUUCAACCAGUGGGUAGUGAAAUCAUGUAGCGAGGAUCUCAUGAGGGUUUCAACAGGCAUUCUUGCUCACUUUCUUCUGAUAUUAACGUGCAUGUGCAGAUUAUCUGGAAAUCAACACAUGAUGUUCAAUUGUAUCAGAGCAGCUUUUGUAGAUUCUACCAUUCAAUACACUGGUACUGACUUGCACUUUCUUCACAAGCUAGUUGCACACAUUUUUUGACUGUAUCUGUAAGACUACUACAUAUCUUUGAGUAAAAGAAACGAAAAGCAAAUGGGAAAAUGAUUUAAAGCAAAAUUUUGUAUGACUAAAUAUACAUAGUAGCCAGACAGCUAAUCAGUUGUGAAGUGGGUUUGGUCCUGCUGGAACUGCGCGUAGAGAAACAUUACUAACCACCGGGUCGAUCUCAACUCCGUGGGAUGCCUCUGGAGCUUGUGCAGAGAAAUGCCAUGAAAAGUCGGAAUUGGAUUCAGAUUUCUCUCUUUGGUUCUCUCCUUCACUUAUCUUUAUGUGGAGCUGACGAGAAUCCGAUUGCUGACUGAUCAUGAGCAUGAUCAUGAACAUCACAAGUGGAAGUGUGAGACUCUGAAGUCCCAUGAGAUGAUGAAACUUUAAAAUUCUUACAGAGAAAUAAGGGGGCAAAUUGAAAACUGAGAUUGUUUUAGUUCUGAUAUGCAAGCAGGUUUUGGAGUCUUAUUAAUAUGGGGAAUCAGGAAACUUGUGGCAAAGAUAGAGCCAAAACUCACAAUUAAUUCUAUCAAAUGACACAAAUGCCCAGUUUUCGCCCUAAAUUUUCUGAAGGCAUCAUUUAACUAUUCACAUUGCAAUGAUUGCAUAACCUUAGGAAAACUAUCUUGCACUUACUACCCAUUCUGCAGCUUUAUGCAUAGUGGUGAUAUUUUCGGCUUUUCGCCUGCAGUUAAGAACUAAGACUGAUCUGUGAUGCAGGUCAUUAUGCAGGAUCAUGCUCUUUGGAUGCUUCAGAAAGCUUUCAGAAUUUGACUCUCUGAUCCAGCUCUUUUGUUUUAGUUCUGUAAUUACUUAUACAUUUGAGGCUUCAAAUACACCAGAAGUUAGAGGCUAAUCUGGUCCUUUACAUGAAUUACUAUCACCCAAUGGAGUGCUCAUUUGAAAAACGGUUUAAAAGUUA
Argentina anserina (silverweed cinquefoil) is the source of this 2188-nucleotide RNA transcript. RefSeq lists it as uncharacterized. The transcript has 11 exons. The record is from RefSeq and is a predicted model, not a curated record. Lineage: Eukaryota; Viridiplantae; Streptophyta; Magnoliopsida; Rosales; Rosaceae.